CGAAACUAUGAGUUAAUAUAACCACAGAUUUCGUAUCAAAGCUAACAGUUUCGAUUUCUUUUCAAGUAUGUUUACUUGGAAAAGUUCAUGACUUUUCAGAUGCACUCCGAAGAAGGAUGUGUGGCUUCCACUGAUGUCUUACCAAAUUCUUUGCUAGCUGGUGGUGAUGAUGACACCAUGUCAGUCAUUAGUGGAAUCAGCAGCGCGGGGUCAACAGUACGGAGUAAAAAAUCAAAACCAUCUACAGGAAAACGGAAAGUGGUUGAGGGCAUGCAGCUUUCACUCACCGAAGAAAGUAGUAGUAGUGACAGUAUGUGGUUAAGCAGAGAACAAACACUGCACACCCCUGUUAUGAUGCAGACACCACAACUCACCUCCACUAUUAUGAGAGAGCCCAAAAGAUUACGGCCUGAGGAUAGCUUCAUGAGUGUUUAUCCAAUGCAGACUGAACAUCAUCAAACACCUCUUGAUUAUAACACGCAGGUAACAUGGAUGUUAGCUCAAAGACAACAAGAGGAAGCAAGGCAACAGCAGGAGAGAGCAGCAAUGAGCUAUGUUAAACUGCGAACUAAUCUUCAGCAUGCCAUGUAAGUGAGAGUGCCUUAUUGUCUGAGUCUAGGAAGUUCACUAAUUCAUUUUAACAUUUUAAUGUGUGCCUUAUCUAAAAAUUUCAGCAAACUCUCUAGAGUAACUUAAGCUGAAAUAAUCAAGGAACUAAAAAUUGGUCUUUCCAACAGAAAAGCAAAAUAUUUUAAUUAAAAUACUACCUAGUUAGCCAAAGGACCAAUCUUAGGUUGAUCUGUUGGAAAAGUUUAAAUAUCAAUCCUUGUUUAUUUUGGUACACAGCAUUAAAAAUACAGUUGUGUUACAUCCUAAUUGAUUUUCCCAACUUAGUUCAGGCCCUCAUCUCUCACCUGAACUAUUGUAUUAGCUUUCUAACUGGUUUUCUUCCCUCAAAUCUCCCAUUUAUUUUCUCACCAAACCUCUCCCUUCACCCCCCCUGCUCCAUCAUUCACACCACCAUCAAGAAUUACUAUUCUAGAAUAAAAAUCUUACCAUGUAACUCUUACUUAAAACCUUUCUGUGGCUCCCCAUUGCCUGCUGGAUAAACUCCCAACUUCCUUAGCUCAUGGCAUGCAAGAUGUUUCAAAAUAUGGCCCCUGCCACGUUUUAGUAUCAUUUCCUAUUCCCUGGCAGCUGGUAAAAUCAUCAUAAAAGAACAAGCUCAGGUGUCACCUUAACUGAAGCUUUGGUCAUCUAUGCUCCCAUAACACUAUGUAUAUCCAUAUUUCUUAUAGCACUUGCCACAUUGUAUUGUAAAUAUUUGUUUAUGAGUUUGUCCCGUUUGUCUAGACUGUGAGCUCCUCAAGGGCAGGGACCACAUUCAUUGCCUAUCAGUGCUUGGCACGUAAAAGGUGCUAAGUAAAUGUUCAUUGAAUGAAUAAAUGUUCAAUGCUAAAAAAAUGAAGUUUAUCUUUUAAAUACUUUGUUUUUACUGGAUUAUGUAUGAUAACUUUAUAAAUCUUUCUAAAAUCUUCAUUAGCUUUGGCUCUAAAAAACAUGGCAGACAAGCAGUCUUUAGAUAAUUUUUUUAAAUGUCUUGAUUGGUAUACAGGGAAAAGUGUGAUGAUUAUGAUUAAGUUUUUGAGUUUGAAAGCAUUGUAUUUAUAAUGUGGUAUAUGUUUUACUAUUGGGAGAUAGUUGUUACCCUCUUCUUUUUUUAAUUUAUAUUUUGUUCUGUCUUGUUGGUUUUUAGAUGUUAAGAAUUUUACCUGUUUUUCUUACAAAAUGAUCAUUUACUAUGAGUGGUGGCCUGCAUAAAUUCACUUUAGUUAUCUCCAUAGUGGUCUUAACCUCUAGAGACACAAGGUAUACUCUAUUACACGUAUAGAUUCUGAUCCUGGUUAAUAUGGUCAUCAUCUAUAUUGUCACAUAGUUCUAUCCUCUUUUGUCUGUUUCUGUGACCACAUUCCUUUUAAUAUAAGUUCUUAUUUUAUGCUGGAUCCUACAACUAAUUUCUUGGCUUCCAAGUAGUCGCCGGUCCAUAUAUUCCAGAAUUCUGCCGUGCAAUCAUUUGGUCUAUAUCUCUCCCCAUAAAACAUUACACCAGUUCCUAAGAUCCUAUAUAGCAUGUCACUACUUAGUACCAUUUUAAUUCCCAAUUAUAGUUAACUCCUCCGCCUCCCGGCAACUACAAGAAAUUAUCUCAGUUAAAUGACUAUUACCAAAGGAUUCUUUGGUGGUUGUACCAUAAGUCAUCUAUUGCAUGGGACUCUAAAGCAUUUUCAUCUUACAAUGAUUUUUCUAUAAUGGUAUCUGCCCUAUAACUAAAAAUACUUCCAAAUUUUCUUUUUUAUUUUUCAUAGCUUGUAUCACAUAUAUCUUCCUUGUACUUCAAACAAAAUGCAGAACGGCUUUCUGAUUUUCUGUCACAUAGUUCAUACAGCACAUAUAUUCCCUUCACGGUUGCCUCUACAAAAUACAGUAAAAUUGUCUUUCUACCCAGAACUGUUAGGAAGUAAGGACCAUUAUAAACAUAUUUGUCCAGGUAACAUGGAUCAGAGAUCGUAUCUUGUUGUCUUUAUAUCUUUUAAGAACCAGCAUAGUAUUGUGUAAAUUGUAAGCAUUCGGUAAAUAAUUGCUGGGGUUUUGGCAACUUUCUUGACUGUGGGGGUGUCUUUGGAUGAGAAAAGAAGGUAAUGUUGGCCAAACUAGGGAAAAACAAGUCCUACUCAGUUUCACUAUUAUGUUGGCUACUUUAUGCUGAUCUGGGCUAAUUUGUGAACUUAAUUUAUUCCCCAUAAUUAUGUAAUAACGUAUAUAACUUUUGGUCUUAGUUUUUCAUUUUAAAUUUCUAAAUAUGUCUUAGUUUUGAGUUUCAUAGGGCACACGAAUCUGAGUUUCAGCAUGAGUGUUCCUCAUUUCUUCCUGAGGCAGAAUUAAUUCCUUAUUUUAGUAUGUCCUUAUAACACUUGAUGCAUAGUUUUCUUGUAAUAUUUAUCACAUUUUGUCAUAAUUAAUUGUUUAUCUCUGUUUGCCAUGGUAGACUGUAAGCUCCUUGAGGGCAGGAAUCAUGUCUUAGUCUUAUUCAUCUUUUUUUUUUUUUUUUUUUUUU
RNAcentral lists this long non-coding RNA (3115 nucleotides) under Pan troglodytes (chimpanzee). RNAcentral's name for it is "lncRNA (ENSPTRG00000053980.1)". The record is from RNAcentral. Lineage: Eukaryota; Metazoa; Chordata; Mammalia; Primates; Hominidae.